UAUGUUGGGGAUGUCAGCACCCAGGGCACCCGCCUGCAGGUUGGCAGCCCAGCCAUCCCCUGCCCUGGAGGGUUGUGCGUUCGAAAGAGUUCACUUCCAGCCAAGCAUUUCAAUGGAGCAACCUCCGCUCUCCGACCCGCUUCGGCUUCAAAGCUUUCCACUCUCUGGGCUCAGGGCUGAAAUCCGACAGUGUCAGCACAGACCUGGCUUGGAGCUCUUAGUAUCUUAGAGCUGAGAGUCUUCUUCCCAUCCUCCCCACCCCCAGCUCAUCCUGCCUGCGGCUCCCUCCCUCCUGGGAAGACCCUUCCAGCCGGCAGAUCCCUCCCCAUCCCGCCGCACAUGCAUGCAGCAAACUGGAGUUACCAGCUCCAGCCUGCCGCAGCAUUUGCUGCCGCUUAGGAAAAAACCUCAUUUACUCAAUUGAAGCUUCUCUGUUGAUUUAAUUAAUGCAAAUUGAGACAUGUGUUAAAACCUCCUUGUAAUUACCGUAACACUGUCAUGGGUUUUUUUUUUUCCCUUUUUCUUGUAUUGUUAAGGAAAAUAGUAAGGCCUGGAUUCACAACAGCUUCCGAAGGUCCACAGCCCUGCAAGCUGAGCACAGUGUGUGCAGUGAGAACCGCACGAGCUCUAGUAGAGGAGCUCAGUGUCUGGCCGUGGGCUGCGAUACCAGCCCCGAAGACCGGCGAGGGCUGACCCCGCUCCCAACCCAAACCCGGGCAGCACCCUCUUGAGCAGAGUUCCUUAGAUUCCUUUGAUUGCUUCCAGGCCGUCUUGAGCGGAAAACCCCAGAUGCUCGCAGUCAGGAGAGAUUCAGCUCAACUUUGCCAUCUUCCCAAGCACCAGUUCCUCCCACGCUGGGUUACAGGGCAGGACCAGGGCUCUGCCGGGCAGACAGACCCUUCGGAUCCGGCGCAGGGCACGUGCUUGCCGGCUUCGAGGUGCGAUGCUGCAGGGCUGGGCUGCAGGCGUGAUGCUUGCUGAGUUCCCUGGCCUUCAAAACACAAUGCCGCAGGCCAAGAGGGUUCCUGUUCUCUCAGCCAGCAGCAUUGAGGGUAUUUUGAGAGCACAACUGUUUUUUUGACAGUUUUCACUCUGCAGCAGAAGCCUCAUUUCAGGCUGGAGCAGUCUGUUGCUGACCCUAGAGAUGAUUCCUGAAUAAACAGGGGAAAAAAGGGCUGAGAAGGGAAACGGAGGUGCUGGAGGAGAGAAAGGGCUGUGUGAGGUCUCUCCAGUUCCAGGCUAUUCUGAAAAAGCCCCUGAAACAGAUUGGAGGGAUCGGGUUUGGUCAAUAUCCAGAUUUCCUCCAUUUUAGGAAGGACAGGCUGACCUCAGCCCUGUGGAUGCCAGCUCGUGCUUCGCACCCCAGCGUGGUGGUGGGGGAGAGUGGGGGGGGGCUGGGCGAGGCGGGGACCCCAAAUGUCCCACGUCCUCCUUUUUAACUCUUUGGCUUACGUCUUCACCCCGGACCGGGGUGCGUGUAGGUGCUGAGACUAUCAGCACCCCUCUCCGGGUGACAUGGUGGCACCGGACCCCCCCAACCCACCAGCUUCAGGCUGCCUUCACCUCCUCGCGUUGAUAGCGACUCUCUAACGACAUUCAUCAUGCAAGGCCUGGGUUGGGAUUUUUGUGGGGGGUUUGUUUUUUUUUUUUUUAUUAAAACGAAGCACUUAAUGUUGGCAAUCGCAACAUAAGGGUGUCUCUCUGGGUAUUGAUUUUAGUGUACAGCAGCAGUUUGCUGGUUUAUUGCAUAAAAGACAGAGAUGUGUCUUUCCUCCAGAAAGGCUGGCUUUGUUUGCCUGUUCUCACAGCUGCAGUGGAUGUGUUUGGUCUUU
This is a long non-coding RNA of Harpia harpyja (harpy eagle), 1832 nucleotides long. RefSeq lists it as uncharacterized. The transcript has 3 exons. NCBI's taxonomy places the organism in Eukaryota, Metazoa, Chordata, Aves, Accipitriformes, Accipitridae. The record is from RefSeq and is a predicted model, not a curated record.